Molecule: ribosomal RNA, 485 nt
Filed under: Pseudomonas sp. 01WB04.3-23
Lineage: Bacteria; Pseudomonadati; Pseudomonadota; Gammaproteobacteria; Pseudomonadales; Pseudomonadaceae
Description: bacterial SSU rRNA
Rfam family: Bacterial small subunit ribosomal RNA
Source: RNAcentral
CUGCUCAGAUUGAACGCUGGCGGCAGGCCUAACACAUGCAAGUCGAGCGGUAGAGAGAAGCUUGCUUCUCUUGAGAGCGGCGGACGGGUGAGUAAUGCCUAGGAAUCUGCCUGGUAGUGGGGGAUAACGUUCGGAAACGGACGCUAAUACCGCAUACGUCCUACGGGAGAAAGCAGGGGACCUUCGGGCCUUGCGCUAUCAGAUGAGCCUAGGUCGGAUUAGCUAGUUGGUGGGGUAAUGGCUCACCAAGGCGACGAUCCGUAACUGGUCUGAGAGGAUGAUCAGUCACACUGGAACUGAGACACGGUCCAGACUCCUACGGGAGGCAGCAGUGGGGAAUAUUGGACAAUGGGCGAAAGCCUGAUCCAGCCAUGCCGCGUGUGUGAAGAAGGUCUUCGGAUUGUAAAGCACUUUAAGUUGGGAGGAAGGGCAGUUACCUAAUACGUGAUUGUUUUGACGUUACCGACAGAAUAAGCACCGGCUAA